Molecule: ribosomal RNA, 253 nt
Filed under: uncultured bacterium
Lineage: Bacteria
Description: partial 16S ribosomal RNA
Rfam family: Bacterial small subunit ribosomal RNA
Source: RNAcentral
UACGUAGGUGGCAAGCGUUGUCCGGAUUUACUGGGCGUAAAGAGCGCGCAGGCGGUCGUUCAAGUCGCGUGUGAAAGCCCCCGGCUCAACUGGGGAGGGUCACGCGAUACUGAUCGACUCGAAGGCAGGAGAGGGUAGUGGAAUUCCCGGUGUAGUGGUGAAAUGCGUAGAUAUCGGGAGGAACACCAGUGGCGAAGGCGACUACCUGGCCUGUUCUUGACGCUGAGGUGCGAAAGCUAGGGGAGCAAACGGG